RNAcentral lists this unclassified non-coding RNA (404 nucleotides) under soil metagenome. RNAcentral's name for it is "partial contains 5.8S ribosomal RNA, internal transcribed spacer 2, and large subunit ribosomal RNA". The stretch from base 1 to 121 matches the Rfam family "5.8S ribosomal RNA", at positions 35 to 154 of the family's 154-position model. The record is from RNAcentral.
GAUGAAGAACGUAGCGAAAUGCGAUAAGUAAUGUGAAUUGCAGAGUUCAGUGAAUCAUCGAAUCUUUGAACGCACCUUGCGCCCUUUGGCUAUUCCGAAGGGCAUGCCUGUUUGAGUAUCAUGAACACCUCAACUCUCAUGGCUUGCCCAUGAUGAGCUUGGACUUUGGGGGUCUUGCUGGCCUAUGGUCAGCUCCUCUCAAACUAAUCAGCUUGCCAGUGUUUGGUGGCAUCACAGGUGUGAUAAAUAUCUAUGCUUGUGGUUUUCUGCCAGGUAACCUCCAGUGUAUGGAGGUUCGCUGGGGCUUAUAAACGUCUCUCCUCAGUGAGGACAGCUCUUUGAACGUUUGAUCUCAAAUCAGGUAGGACUACCCGCUGAACUUAAGCAUAUCAAUAAGCGGAGGA